GACUGGACACAGUCUGAGCAGUGGCUGCCUUCUUUCUCUUCACUGGCUCCUCUCCCUGCCUGUCUGAUCUUUGCCUCUAGCAGGCGUUGCAGCUUCGUCUCUCUUCCCCUGCCACGGAAGCCCGGGUUACCUCUCCUAGAGCAUCUCAGCAAGAGAUAUCCCCGGGCUACACGUCCUGGAGCCUGGCCUGUGCUGUUAUGAACCUUCCCCACGCAUGGCCUUCCAAAGCGGCAGUGUGCCAGGCAUCAAGAUCAUCCUCAUUCACCUGCUGUUGUGCCUGGUCACUUUCUACACAGUCUACUACAUGAUUGGAAGCAUCUGCUCUGGAGCUUUCAGGCUGGACACAUUUGAUGGACUUAUCCCCUUUGAAUUUAACACAGAACCAUCUCACUCAAAUCCCAAAUAUCUGGUGAAUUUGCUGUCCAUGGAACUGACCUACUUCACCAGCGGCCUUCUCUUUGCUGCUCUGCUGAAGCGAUGGGUCUGGGACUAUGCCAUCACUGUCACACUGGUCCACGUGGCACUGACGUCUGUAGUAGCUUUAGCCCGAGAUCGUCACUGGAUGAGGAGUCAGCAGGUUGGACGGUCCACGGUUCCGCUGACGAGGGGGCGGGUACUGCCUUCAGACGAGAGUGAUGGAUCCAGUUCUUGUGUCCCUCGACCUUUGCUGCUGUAUGGGAGAUCAGCAGGACGGUAUAGGGUCCUUUCCACUUUUCCUGGAGAGGCUCGUCUUUCCAGCGAUGGAACAGUUCCCUUUGGUGUGGCACUGGUGGCUAGCACUUGGCAGUGGCCUCUUUAUCAUGAUUUUCAGUGGACAACUUGUGACCCACUUUGCUUGCCCUGACUCCAGUGAUCCCACUUUGGACAGCUACUGACAUUCUUGAGAGAUUCAAGAUCAAGGGCCUCCCUAAGAACUGGGACGAGAGAAGCAUUAUCUUGUUGUCCAUGUUGGACAGGAAGCCAGGCACUCGAGUUCUAAUUCCUGUUCUCACAAUGACUUCUUCUGUGGCUUUGGACCAGUCGCUCCACCUCUGUGCCUCAGCCUACGCACCAACAGAAGCAGGGACAAUGCUUACUUUCCUCGGGGGAAGGGGGGACCUUAAGAGAACACAUUAAUACUUUAAUAGAUUUCCUAUGGACUACAUCCCCACUGAAAUGACCUUCAACUUACUCUGGGGUUGGUCUUUCUUCCAUUGGGUCAUCCAAAACCCACGCAGCUUUACAUCCUUAAAGAUGAAUGCACUCUGUAGAAACAAGGUGAGACACACCAGGUAUUCUUGGGGAAACUGUUUACAUUGGGCAUUCUUCAGUUAGCAUAUUCUGCUGCACUCAGGCCAUGGGAAGAGACUGUCCUUGUACAGCUGCUACCACACUUUAAACGCUGUUGCAAGUCUGACACUCACGUUCCUGCUGCUAUGAAGAUCUGCAAUUCUGCCUCCCUGCCAAUGACUCUUGCUUUUAGAAGAGCCUUAAUUUGGGGCAAAUUCACUCACACAAUGCAGAUUUUUUUUCUUUUACACCCCUGCAGAAUGUUAGUCCUCUUCACAGUACACUGGAUAGUAAAUAGGAGAUUAAAAACCAAGGGUUGGUUCCCUCAGAAAUGA
RNA transcript from Caretta caretta (loggerhead turtle), 1604 nucleotides. It is a transcript of the gene named putative transmembrane protein 244, with no coding region annotated. The record is from RefSeq and is a predicted model, not a curated record. Lineage: Eukaryota; Metazoa; Chordata; Testudines; Cheloniidae.